RNAcentral lists this ribosomal RNA (294 nucleotides) under uncultured bacterium. RNAcentral's name for it is "partial 16S ribosomal RNA". It matches the Rfam family "Bacterial small subunit ribosomal RNA", at positions 775 to 1067 of the family's 1533-position model. The record is from RNAcentral.
GGAUUAGAUACCCUGGUAGUCCACGCCGUAAACGCUGUCUACUAGCUGUGUGUUUUAUUAAUAAGAUGCGUAGCGAAGCUAACGCGCUAAGUAGACCGCCUGGGGAGUACGGCCGCAAGGUUAAAACUCAAAUGAAUUGACGGGGGCCCGCACAAGCGGUGGAGCAUGUGGUUUAAUUCGAUGCAACGCGAAGAACCUUACCAGGACUUGACAUCCAGAGAACUUAGCAGAGAUGCUUUGGUGCCUUCGGGAGCUCUGAGACAGGUGCUGCAUGGCUGUCGUCAGCUCGUGCCG